UCGCGAGAUGGCGGCUAGGGGCGUGGCCCGGCCGCUCCCGUGACGCGUAUGUGUUCCUGCGCCUGCGCCCUGCUUAGUGGAAAAUAACCAGACGCUGGGAUAGGAAACGCUGCGGUAACCGGCGGACUGUGGUACCUGUUGCCCCGAUAGUGUCUUGACAGCGUGUGCGAUUGUUGUCCUGUAUCUGCCAGCAACUGUAUUGCAUUGAAUUGUUGGUCAGUCUUAUUGAUGGAUAUGGCUGGAAUGAGGAAGGCCGUGUUCUGUCAGCCUUGGGAGGAGGAGGAGUGCCUGGAGUACUAUGGCAUGCGCUCCCUGCACCGCAUGUUUGAUGUCAUUGGCUCUCAGUUAACAGAGAGUGAUAUUGAUGCCCUGUCUUUCCUGUUGAACGAAUCGUAUUCUUCUACACACCCCCUGGACCCUCGUAUCUGGACAGUGGAGGAAGCGGAUGAAGUGCCUAAUAGUUCCUUGCUGGCUGCGUGGCAGAGGUGGAACCGUGGCACUAGAACCAGUAGUGACUUAGACACUCCUGAUUUAUCAAGACCUAAAAAUGGCACUGAGCUACUAUUGGAACUGGAGCGGUGGGGGAAAUGCGAUGAGACCAACUUCACACACCUCCUCCAAUUACUUCGGGUAUUAACUCGGCAUGACCUUCUCCCGUAUGUCUCCCAGAAAAGACCCCGUACAGUAUCCCCCGAGAGGUAUACAUAUGGUCCUUCCGUUGUAGACUCCGGAAAACAGAUGGACGGAUGUUUAAACACGACACCUUCACAAGCCACUGAAGAAAUCUGGGAAACAGGUUCUAAUGGCAACAAAAGGAAGCGAGUAGGAAAUGUAAAGGGGCGCUGCCCAAGACCAAAAAAGAACAAAGUGAGCAAUGUUCCUCCACAGGCAGAGACUGCUCAGACCAAAGUCACAUGUGGUAAGUAUAGUCAUAUCUCCCAUGUAUGUGUCCAUCAGCCUCCAGAACUCCUCAUCUGUGACCCGAUGGGGAACCUUUUACAUGUGUACUCGCCCUAUGUGCCACAGCCAACCAAGAGUCUAUGUAAAGCGCUGCUUAGUUCAGUUCUCAGUGUCUCAUACUCUUUGUAAAGUGGAAUGCCCUAUUGUCUGCCCACUAAUGGUUUCCUCGCCUACUGCAAAGUAAUACUAGCUUCUCUGGUAGUAACUCUAACUGACCCCAAAACUAAAUGACUUCUUGUGUUAAUUGACUCUGCAUGGAUAAGAGUCGUAGUACAUAAUAAGUGCUGUAGCACCAUCCAGGGGACCAAAAUACCUCUCCCUCAUGUUUACCAAAGCUGCUAAUUUCCGAUUACGCUAACCGGAUGGUAUGUCUGGACUGCAAUCUGCACUUUCUGUACCGCACUGAUCACAUGCUGAUCUGUCAUUUCCUGCCUAGCGAAGUAUACUACAUCACCUGCUGUAAUCUUACACUGGAGCAAAAAACACAGUAUCAAGCAGUUUACCAUAUGGCGAUGCCAGUAUAGUGGAGUAAUAGUCCUCCUAUACAAAUUAUUAGGUGCCUUUCUAUUCUAUUCUGUUAGAAACUUGCUCAACCAAUGGUGUGCUGUUUGUAAUUAAAGCUUCAUUCCGCCAAAAACAGAAUUUUACUUAUACAGUACGUGGGAUAUCCUACAAAAAACACUGUUCCGAAAGACUGGCUUUUCCGAGCCUUGCGCCUGCCUAUUCACUCGCUCCUUAGUGUAUGCUUGAAUGAAAAUAGACUUUUAGUGGCAAAUGGGAGUAGAUUGCAGCAGAUAUUGCUGGAUUCUGGUUUGCAGGGGAUGGGGCGGGGGCAGGACACAAUGUAAGUAACCUUUCCAAAACUGUGUGGAAUUGCCCAUUAAUCACUCCACUAAUUCAUAGGUUCCCAAUCUCUGUCCUCGGGAUCCAAACAAUGCAUGUUUUCCAGGUUUCCCUCACAGAAUCACAAGUGAAAAGGGUCACCUGAGGAUCUUUAAAAAUCUGUCUGAGAGUAAUGGUUACACUUGGUCACCUGGUGGGUGACCUGGAAAACGUGACCUGUUUGGGGUCAAAGGACAGAGUUUGAGACCCUAUGCACUAGCUACACCACUCCAAAAAGAACGUUGCAGCCUUCUGGCAGUUUUAUAGGUUUGUUUCAGUCCUUCCACAAAAGACCUAGAACACUUUCAAAUAACACGCUUGUGGAGGGCAGCUUAAAAUGAAAUGCACAUGCUUUAAGUUUUGUCUUUAGUGUGUCCUAGAACCCACCCAGCCCAUGUGUUCAGUACACACGUGCCAAUUGCAGUCACCACGACGUUUUCUACAUUUAAAAAGGCUGAGAAAAAACUUGCUGCUGUGUUGCUGUUACCUAGUGCACCCUAGUACUAAUUCAGCCAUUAAAAUCGGCCUUAUUGAUCAUUACACCGUGUCAGUCUGAUAGCACACCCAUUCAUUGUUUUCUCUGCAACAAGGUGCCAGUCUAAUGUGUCUUGUCUAACUUGUCUCUGCUCCAACGUCUCUCACAUUUUGACAGUUACAGGAAAUGAGUGCUUAAGAAGACAUUUACUAAUUAAACUAGUAAAUACAUAAAACAAAUCUUCAUACCUGUGCUACGUGGAUGAAACAGUAAGACCUUUCACCUCUUCCGUGUCGUGUUUUUCCUUUCUCUAACCCAUCUCUCACUGGCAGAAGGGCUGUGUGACAACGCAGUUUUUGCAGACCCCUGUGACAGUGAGGGGAAUGGCGAGUGUAGGAUUUUCCAUUGCUGGGGAGAUUGCAUGUUGUCUGCUACUAUAACCUCUUCAGUAUAGAUGAAAAACCAUGUUGCCUCCGUAUAGACACACCUCUAAAGAUCAAGUGUUUAAGUGCACUGUAUUGUAUUCUUUAAUUCAGUACUUGCAAAACGUUCUUUGGUGCAGAAGCAAUAAAAAAAGAGCACAGGGUGUCUUGUGCCAGUCUUCUAAGACUACAUUUUAUAUGUAAAAAAAACAAAAACAAAAAAAACUGCCUUCAGAGGGGUUGUUGGGAUCAGUAAAAUGUAUUUAGAAUGGCGUGUAUAUAAAUGUUUUGCACCAUUGUAUAACACCUAUAUGGUGCAUCUGGAGGCUUCAUUAUGUCCUGAUCAUUGCGCUGUUGCUGUCCUGUUUUUUUUUUGUUUUGUUUUUUGAAGUAUGACCUUAUUUGAAAGUUAGGUUCCACAGUAGGAGUAAAAAGUCAUUCUACACCAUAAAACGUCGUAAUGUACCAGUCUGUCUCUCAUUCAGAACCAGUUUUACAUUAAGUGAGCGCUAGUUUAUACAUUGAUACCUUAUGAAGACUUCUAAUCCUACUUCAUUAUUUUUAAUAUUAAAGCAUCAAUUCUUAUGUAUGCUUUGUUAGAUAAUAUGUAUGCAGACUUUUUUUUUUAUUUUUUAUGAUUUCACCCAUGACAGGAGCUGUUUAAAAGUGGGCAAAAUAUAAAUGAACUUGAUCACUUUUAAGGCGUUCCUGUAUGGUGGUUUUUCUUUUGUUUUUUCACCUUCCAGUGCUCCUCCUAACGUAUCCUCUGAAAUGUCAUGGUGUUUGUUUAUUCUCUACAGUCGACUUUCUCUAAAAUUUAAAUUCCAGGUUUACUGAGCAAAGGUUGAUGCUUAAGAGAGAAAGUCUCUCUGUUAAGGAAAUGAUCAUGGUCUCAACCCUUCAAAAGUUACAAGCGUACGAUAUAAAUAAGGUAAAUGUAAGACUUCUAUACGUGAGAGCCGGUUGCGUCAGAUAGAAUUCCAUAGACGUCAGUACAACGUGACCGCCACGGUCUUCCUCUCAGCAUGCAGAUACAGGAGCCGCAUACUUUGAUCUGUUAAACAUUUGAGUUGGGAGAGUGGCGUUUAUAGGUCUACUCCCUGUCCCUACUCAAUGUUCACCUAAUUGGCAACAGCUGAUAUUAAAUGUUCCCUUUUUUCCAACUGCCACACUCGCCUAUUUUACCUAAAAUUUGUUGCAUUCAGCUGCGUAUACUAGAACUGUGCAAAACCGAUGAGACACGCAGAAUCCUUGUUAGUCUCCCUUUGCUGCAGAUACCAGAAAUAAAAGGUCCUGUUGAAUCUGUCCUUAGAACUUCAGUUUAUUACAAUCUGGUUACCAUUUAUUUUUUUAUUUUAUAUUACCAGCUAUAGCCAGGGUUGUUUUUUUUUUUUUUUUACUUAACUAUUUACACCUAUCAAAGCUGCUUAAGUAUUCUCGACAAAGAUGGAAGUAAUGGCUGUGAUACAGGGGCCUGAUUCAGAUGAGGUCGCUAUGCUGACAUAGCAGCGAUCCGUUUUCAGUGAUGAAACUGCGAUGCAUUACUAGGUUAGUAGCCGCCCACAAGUGAAGAAAUGCCUCCCGAAGCUAUCGCAACUAGAUGUGAGGAACAUCGAAUCCCUGAGUGCCUUCACAGCCGCGCAGAAUGCCCGCAGGACUUUAAGACACUGUCGCCAUGUUAAAUGUGUACAAGAACGCAGUCGCAUGAUUCCCCUUUGUUUUUGCAGACACCCCUCCACAUGUCCUCUUCCUGUAAUUCACUCUGUGACGGUUCCUUACUGCGUCAUCGCAGAUGUACUCCAGCAUGUGCGCACUGCGGCCGCGAUGCAUGAUGCGCAGUCUGCCGAUAAUCACUUACUUGCGACACCUUCAAAGUUGCAACCGCAUCUGAAUAAGGCCCACAGUGCUUCCUUAUCGGAGAAACCUUUGUUAAGACCGCCAAUGGAAAAAGCAUUAUAAAGCUGCUCUGACAGCCUGGCACUGCAACUCAAUGGUAAACAUGGGAGCAAAAAUACAAGCUUGUUUUGUUUCUGCUUCAGUCUGCGCUGUAUUAUACAAGCUGCUCCACUCAUCAGAUAAUUAUCUCACCAUGGACACUCAUUGUCUUAAGAAGUCCUAAAAUCAACUGUUUUUGCCUGUUCUUUUAUUUGUGGUGUUGUAUAAAUAAAGAGUAAUACAUAUA
Molecule: RNA transcript, 4921 nt
Organism: Pseudophryne corroboree (corroboree frog)
Lineage: Eukaryota; Metazoa; Chordata; Amphibia; Anura; Myobatrachidae
Gene: DEDD2
Gene name: death effector domain containing 2
Exons: 5
Source: RefSeq, a predicted model, not a curated record